This 433-nucleotide ribosomal RNA is filed under the name uncultured bacterium. RNAcentral's name for it is "partial 16S ribosomal RNA". It matches the Rfam family "Bacterial small subunit ribosomal RNA", at positions 29 to 507 of the family's 1533-position model. The record is from RNAcentral.
AACGAACGCUGGCGGCAUGCCUAACACAUGCAAGUCGAACGAGACCUUCGGGUCUAGUGGCGCACGGGUGCGUAACGCGUGGGAACCUGCCCUUAGGUUCGGAAUAACUCCCCGAAAGGGGUGCUAAUACCGGAUAAUGUCUUCGGACCAAAGAUUUAUCGCCUUUGGAUGGGCCCGCGUUGGAUUAGCUAGUUGGUAGGGUAAAAGCCUACCAAGGCGACGAUCCAUAGCUGGUCUGAGAGGAUGAUCAGCCACACUGGGACUGAGACACGGCCCAGACUCCUACGGGAGGCAGCAGUGGGGAAUAUUGGACAAUGGGCGAAAGCCUGAUCCAGCAAUGCCGCGUGAGUGAUGAAGGCCCUAGGGUUGUAAAGCUCUUUUACCCGGGAUGAUAAUGACAGUACCGAGAGAAUAAGCUCCGGCUAACUCCGUG